Molecule: long non-coding RNA, 290 nt
Organism: Carassius gibelio (silver crucian carp)
Lineage: Eukaryota; Metazoa; Chordata; Actinopteri; Cypriniformes; Cyprinidae
Exons: 2
Source: RefSeq, a predicted model, not a curated record
UGACUCCUGAAUGAUUUGCAGAUGGAUGGACGUCAUGUGACUGUACCUGACGGAUCAUCAUCCUCUCUUCAGAUAUUCACCUUCAUUGUCAGCAGACGUACACAGACCGCCGCUGUCCACACUGCUGUCCAGAUCCUCUGACAGAAGCGAGCUGUUCGCUGAGAGAACGGGAGAGAGGACUGGCAUAGUCUCUGAACGUGACUGUUCCCCUCCUCAACAGUCUCGACUGACAUGGCUUCUGAAACACACACACAGGUAAUCAAUACAGUUAAAUUAAAAGGAUCUCUCUU